Lepus europaeus (European hare) is the source of this 105-nucleotide small nuclear RNA. The record is from RefSeq and is a predicted model, not a curated record. Lineage: Eukaryota; Metazoa; Chordata; Mammalia; Lagomorpha; Leporidae.
AUGCUCGCUUCGGCAGCACAUACACUAAAAUCAGAAAGAUACAGAGAAGGUUAGCAUGGCCCUUGUGCAAGGAUAACACAGAUUCGUGAAGUGUUCCAUAUUUUU